AGUGAACGCUGGCGGUAGGCCUAACACAUGCAAGUCGAACGGCAGCACAGGAGAGCUUGCUCUCUGGGUGGCGAGUGGCGGACGGGUGAGGAAUACAUCGGAAUCUGCCCAGUCGUGGGGGAUAACGUAGGGAAACUUACGCUAAUACCGCAUACGACCUUCGGGUGAAAGAGGGGGAUCGCAAGACCUCUCGCGAUUGGAUGAGCCGAUGUCGGAUUAGCUAGUUGGCGGGGUAAUGGCCCACCAAGGCGACGAUCCGUAGCUGGUCUGAGAGGAUGAUCAGCCACACUGGAACUGAGACACGGUCCAGACUCCUACGGGAGGCAGCAGUGGGGAAUAUUGGACAAUGGGCGCAAGCCUGAUCCAGCCAUACCGCGUGGGUGAAGAAGGCCUUCGGGUUGUAAAGCCCUUUUGUUGGGAAAGAAAUCUUUCAGGCUAAUACCCUGGGAGGAUGACGGUAUCCAAAGAAUAAGCACCGGCUAACUUCGUG
This 490-nucleotide ribosomal RNA is filed under the name uncultured bacterium. RNAcentral's name for it is "partial 16S ribosomal RNA". It matches the Rfam family "Bacterial small subunit ribosomal RNA", at positions 29 to 507 of the family's 1533-position model. The record is from RNAcentral.